Long non-coding RNA from Pan paniscus (pygmy chimpanzee), 910 nucleotides. NCBI's taxonomy places the organism in Eukaryota, Metazoa, Chordata, Mammalia, Primates, Hominidae. The record is from Ensembl.
AUACUAUCUGUUAUGUUCUAAAUGUUUAUUCCUCCCCCUCCCACAUUCGUAUAUUGAAAUCCUAACCUUCAAGGUGAUGGUAUUGAGAGAAGGUAGGUCCUCUGGGAGGUGAUUGAGUCAUGAGGGCAGAUUCCUCACGAAUGGAGUUAGGACCCUUAUAAAAGAUACCAGAGGAAGCUUAUUCACUCCUUCCACCAUGUGAGGACACAGCAAGAAGGCACCACCUAUGAAUCAGGAAAUGGGUCCUCACCAGGCAUUGAAUCUGCCAGUGCUUUGAUUUUAGAUUUCCAGCUUCCAGAAUUGCGAGAACUAAAUUUCUGUUGUUAAAAGUCACCCAGUGUAUGGUGUUUUGUUACAGCAGCCCAAAUAGACUAUGACAUGCUCCAACGUCACCUUCACUUACACACCUUGGAAUGUGUAGUGUGUUAGGGCUCCAGUGUCAAUUCUGAACUCACAGGGCAGAGGGGGGGAUUGCAGUGAGCACCUCUGACUUGCCUGUCAGUCAGCUGCCUCAGUUCAGAAUAGCUGUAAAAUUGGAGGUUUCUUCAUUCUGUUGUCAUCUCUCCUUGCUGCUCAAAGGUCCCAAGUCCUGUCUCCAGAAUAAACUCUUUAUUUGAUGCAAAGACACUGGGAGCUUGAGUGGUGCUGGCAGAUCUGUGAUUCAUGCAUAGGAGAAAAUGGCCAUCUUUCCCAGAUUUCCAUACUACUGGCAAAGAUCUCACUAAUUAGCCCUCAUAUAUUGACUUCCGUUUUCAUUUUUCUUCUUCGUAAGUACAUAGUUUUAAUUCUCCUAACUAAGCAAAUCUCAUAGAAGGAAGAAAAGUUGGUGUUUAUACAUCUUUAGUUGUUCGCAUGGCUUGUUCUAUAACAGACAUGAAAAGUUUUUGGAGAAGAUUAUUUUAAAUGUAAC